CCCCGGUAAACGGCGGCCGUAACUAUAACGGUCCUAAGGUAGCGAAAUUCCUUGUCGGGUAAGUUCCGACCUGCACGAAUGGCGUAAUGAUGGCCAGGCUGUCUCCACCCGAGACUCAGUGAAAUUGAACUCGCUGUGAAGAUGCAGUGUACCCGCGGCAAGACGGAAAGACCCCGUGAACCUUUACUAUAGCUUGACACUGAACAUUGAGCCUUGAUGUGUAGGAUAGGUGGGAGGCUUUGAAGUGUGGACGCCAGUCUGCAUGGAGCCGACCUUGAAAUACCACCCUUUAAUGUUUGAUGUUCUAACGUGGACCCGUAAUCCGGGUUGCGGACAGUGUCUGGUGGGUAGUUUGACUGGGGCGGUCUCCUCCUAAAGAGUAACGGAGGAGCACGAAGGUUGGCUAAUCCUGGUCGGACAUCAGGAGGUUAGUGCAAUGGCAUAAGCCAGCUUGACUGCGAGCGUGACGGCGCGAGCAGGUGCGAAAGCAGGUCAUAGUGAUCCGGUGGUUCUGAAUGGAAGGGCCAUCGCUCAACGGAUAAAAGGUACUCCGGGGAUAACAGGCUGAUACCGCCCAAGAGUUCAUAUCGACGGCGGUGUUUGGCACCUCGAUGUCGGCUCAUCACAUCCUGGGGCUGAAGUAGGUCCCAAGGGUAUGGCUGUUCGCCAUUUAAAGUGGUACGCGAGCUGGGUUUAGAACGUCGUGAGACAGUUCGGUCCCUAUCUGCCGUGGGCGCUGGAGAACUGAGGGGGGCUGCUCCUAGUACGAGAGGACCGGAGUGGACGCAUCACUGGUGUUCGGGUUGUCAUGCCAAUGGCACUGCCCGGUAGCUAAAUGCGGAAGAGAUAAGUGCUGAAAGCAUCUAAGCACGAAACUUGCCCCGAGAUGAGUUCUCCCUGAGACUUAGAGUCUCCUGAAGGAACGUUGAAGACGACGACGUUGAUAGGCCGGGUGUGUAAGCGCAGCGAUGCGUUGAGCUAACCGGUACUAAUGAACCGUGAGGCUUAACCUUACAACGCCGAA
This 1024-nucleotide ribosomal RNA is filed under the name Salmonella enterica. RNAcentral describes it as "partial 23S ribosomal RNA". It matches the Rfam family "Bacterial large subunit ribosomal RNA", at positions 1918 to 2925 of the family's 2925-position model. Lineage: Bacteria; Pseudomonadati; Pseudomonadota; Gammaproteobacteria; Enterobacterales; Enterobacteriaceae. The record is from RNAcentral. RNAcentral also lists the same sequence under 1 other name.